Non-coding RNA from Phasianus colchicus (ring-necked pheasant), 1341 nucleotides. The record is from RefSeq and is a predicted model, not a curated record. Lineage: Eukaryota; Metazoa; Chordata; Aves; Galliformes; Phasianidae.
AGAGUGGGAAGGAAGCGGUAGGUUCACUAGUCUCGUUGCAGGAUGAUUCAAAAUUGUGUCUUUACCAGAAAAUGAGUGCAGUUUCUUAUUUUGCCAGAUAUUCUUGGAAGAGCAAAAUUAAACAUAUUUAUUUAGAGUUCUUGGGAGAUGAAGAGAAUAAGGCUACAGAUUUUCUAAUGCUGAGCCCCAUCACUAUCUAGGCUCCUAACAUCGGACCCUGUUGUCAUGUCCUGGAAGAAAUGUUAGGCCUUCUGGAAUGGAGUCAGGAGAAAGAUAAGGAAAGCAGGUGGUACCACAUCCUUCCACUGAUAGGAGCAUGGGUGCGCGAUGCUCUCUGAUAUCUGGUGCAACCUAGAGAGAACUCUGAAUGGCAGAUUUGCUGGAAAAACACUGAGUAAAUUGUUGUACAGAAGGAUUUAAGAAAUACUGCUUCAUCUUCUGUAAAUUAUAUAAAGUUCUACUGGAGAAAUAGCACAAGUUUACAUCAGAAUGGUAGCUGCCUGGUGGAGCUGCAUCACUCUGCUUUUGUUACUUUCUGUGUGAAGAGAACAGACCAAUUUCCUGAUUCAGUCUUAGAGAAUUAAUCAAAGACGCCCCUUGAGGAGUACUAGUAUUUACUUUAAGUUCUCAGACUCUUGACUAAGAAUGAAAUAGUUGCAAAAUUCAUACUGAACUUCAUGCAUUCUGCAUAUUUUUUAUCAGUGAUGUGUGAUUUGAAAAAAGAUAGCUUGAGAAAGUUUAAAAAAAGUUUAUUUGCUAGAAAUUAUGACACAUAGCUGUACAUCUAGCUUAAUAGUCAAACAGAUCUGGACAAAAUUGAGUGACUUGGGAUUUAAAUCCUCACAAUGUGCCUUUAGACCAGCACGACCUGCACAGGACCUUUAUUUUUUCUUGUCACAAAAUGUCCAGUACACUGAGACACAACUAGACAUGUGGUCUAGCCUUGCUGGACUCUUCUACGCCUUGAUUCUCUUUUUCUCAUCUUAGUCUUUUGCUCUUAUAUUGAAAAAUGUUUCUUUUUAAUGCUGAUAAUCACAAUCUACUUUUAAAAACAAUUUCCUUUGCAGGAAUCUAUCUCCAGCUUUAUCUCCCUGUACUUUUUCAUUCACUUUAAAUGUUUCAAAAAUUUUCUGACCUUCCGCCAAGGAUUUUCUGAAGUGCAUCUUGAAUUUCUUAAAACACGUUACGCUGCAAGGUUCUGUCUGCAAAGUCAAGAGUUAGUUCACUUGAAAAAUGGUUGUGAGACUUAACCCAAAUUGAUACCGUGUUGACCAGAGUCUGCAGCUUCUCAAAUGUAUUUUCACAAGUAGCAAAAUCAAAAAUGUACAAAAGUUUAGGGUG